RNAcentral lists this ribosomal RNA (468 nucleotides) under uncultured bacterium. RNAcentral's name for it is "partial 16S ribosomal RNA". It matches the Rfam family "Bacterial small subunit ribosomal RNA", at positions 28 to 507 of the family's 1533-position model. The record is from RNAcentral.
GACGAACGCUGGCGGCGUGCUUAACACAUGCCAGUCGAACGGAAAGGCCCUGCUUUUGUGGGGUGCUCGAGUGGCGAACGGGUGAGUAACACGUGAGUAACCUGCCCUUGACUUUGGGAUAACUUCAGGAAACUGGGGCUAAUACCGGAUAGGAGCUCCUGCUGCAUGGUGGGGGUUGGAAAGUUUCGGCGGUUGGGGAUGGACUCGCGGCUUAUCAGCUUGUUGGUGGGGUAGUGGCUUACCAAGGCUUUGACGGGUAGCCGGCCUGAGAGGGUGACCGGCCACAUUGGGACUGAGAUACGGCCCAGACUCCUACGGGAGGCAGCAGUGGGGAAUAUUGCACUAUGGGCGGAAGCCUGAUGCAGCAACGCCGCGUGCGGGAUGACGGCCUUCGGGUUGUAAACCGCUUUCGCCUGUGACGAAGCGUGAGUGGCGGUAAUGGGUAAAGAAGCACCGGCUAACUACGUG